GCUACGGGCGCAGCAGUGAGGAAUAUUGGUCAAUGGGCGGAAGCCUGAACCAGCCAAGUCGCGUGAGGGAAUAAGGCCCUACGGGUCGUAAACCUCUUUUGCCGGGGAGCAAGGGCCGGGACGAGUCCCGGUCCGGAGAGUACCCGGAGAAAAAGCAUCGGCUAACUCCGGGCCAGCAGCCGCGGUAAUACGGAGGAUGCGAGAGUUAUCCGGAGUUAUUGGGUUUAAAGGGUGCGUAGGCGGGCUUUUAAGUCAGCGGUAAAAAUGUGGGGGUGAACCCCGUCCGGCCGU
Molecule: ribosomal RNA, 291 nt
Filed under: uncultured bacterium
Lineage: Bacteria
Description: partial 16S ribosomal RNA
Rfam family: Bacterial small subunit ribosomal RNA
Source: RNAcentral